Non-coding RNA from Schistosoma haematobium, 78 nucleotides. NCBI's taxonomy places the organism in Eukaryota, Metazoa, Platyhelminthes, Trematoda, Strigeidida, Schistosomatidae. The record is from Rfam.
AACUUUUUAAAUUCGUGCCGACAUCUCGUCAGUCACUAACUCAUCAGGAGUGAUGAGACUUCCAAGAUAAGUGAAGCG